GGCUUGACAACUCAACUGGUAGAGCACUGCACUGGUAUUGCAGAGGUCAGGGUACUACAGUAUUCCCUGUUCAGGCCU
This 78-nucleotide transfer RNA is filed under the name Acropora cervicornis. RNAcentral's name for it is "tRNA-Thr". The record is from RNAcentral. Lineage: Eukaryota; Metazoa; Cnidaria; Anthozoa; Scleractinia; Acroporidae.